GAGAGUUAAACAGUACGUGAAAUUGUUGAAAGGGAAACGAUUGAAGCCAGUCGUACCUUCGGGUAAUCAGCCUUUCGGGUGCGAUUCUGUGGAGUUUGAGGAGCUUAACACCUUCAUGCUUUGCAUAUUCGUGCUCUUGGGUGUACUUGCUCGUAUGGUUGGUUAACAUCAAUUUUGGUGGUCAUAAAAUGACUGGAGGAAUGUAGCUUCGAUCUCGUAUUGAAGUGUUAUAGCCUUCGGUAGAUGUGAUGACUGAGAUUGAGGAUUGCAACGGAUACCCCUCGGGGCUACCUGUCUGAUCUCUGAUCGUUGCUCUGGUGCCGAAAGCUUGCUUACGGUUGUCAAAGUCGAUGGUCAAUAGGUUAGAAUGGGUUAAAUUCGUUAAGGAUGUUGACGUAAUGGCUUUAAACGA
Molecule: ribosomal RNA, 412 nt
Filed under: uncultured Rhizophagus
Lineage: Eukaryota; Fungi; Glomeromycota; Glomeromycetes; Glomerales; Glomeraceae
Description: partial 28S ribosomal RNA
Source: RNAcentral